UGUCGGUAGUAUAGUGUUGUGAGUAUGCUGUCUUUCCAAGUCAGGGGUCCAAUGGGUUUGGCUGACACAA
Molecule: non-coding RNA, 70 nt
Organism: Paragonimus westermani
Lineage: Eukaryota; Metazoa; Platyhelminthes; Trematoda; Plagiorchiida; Troglotrematidae
Source: the annotation of a GenBank genome assembly